This is a long non-coding RNA of Clupea harengus (Atlantic herring), 1053 nucleotides long. RefSeq lists it as uncharacterized. Lineage: Eukaryota; Metazoa; Chordata; Actinopteri; Clupeiformes; Clupeidae. The record is from RefSeq and is a predicted model, not a curated record.
GGACACUGGAAGCAGUUUACUCAGACAAAAGGCCAUUCAGAGAAAAAGGGGACCGAGUGUUUAGAAAAUGUCACUGAUAAGGUCAAACCGAGAUUUCCAGCGCAGGCAUUACAAAACGUAGAACUGAAUAGAUGGGCCACCUAGGGAGAGUAAACGACAUCUUUGAACAAGGGAACCAAAUGUCAGUGGCUCGUCAGAUGGAUCGAGAUUUCCGACGUGAACGAGUGUAAAUGGGUGCUCUAUUCAACAGAGGAAGCGGCGACCAUCUAUCUCCACACUGAGAGAGAGAGAGACAGAGUCUGCAGAGAGAGACAGUGUGUGAGGGUGUGUUAAGCUCAGCAUUAGUCUGCCGCAAACAGACAGUGAUUCGAGUUUUGAUUUUGUUACGAGUGGACAUUUUCCAGCCCACUCGAGCCUGUAGCAUCCAUCACUAGGGCACCUCUCCCUCUUCCUCUGGGGAAAGGCUCCUGCCCCUUUCCAUCUCCAACAAGCAGGAUCCCUGAGUGGGUGACCUUGUAUCAUGGCAACUUUGACACAAAAUUUCUGGGCUUCCUGUGAUGUUUCCACUUUCGUGACAACACCCUCCCUGGGCUGGCCUCCAAAUGGACUGUGAUGACUGCAGGGCUAAUUCUCCCUGACAGCACAUUAAUCAUUUGCCUAUCGAGAUUCCUUAAGGUGACUGAGAAGUGAUUUGUGGAAGAGGAGCGAGAGCAGACACAUCUCUGUCUGUCUGUGUGCUCUGCACAUAGGUGUGUUUAAAUAGAAAUGUUACUCACUCUUUGGAAAGUAUGACAAUUUGCAACAACUACGAUUUACACUCAUACUAAUCUACUCUGACACUAUUUUACCUAUAAAAUGAAAAAAAAAAAGAAACGUUCAUAAUGGAAAUGUAAUUUCAAGACUUACAUUCAAGAGUUUUUAAGGCCGCAGAUGUAUUAUGUCAGUCAGAUAUUUAUUUUUCUCUGUCUUUUCUCUCUGUUCUCCCUGUGGUCAAUAUUAUUUAUCCCAACCUCUUUUUCCUCUUUAUUCUGAAAUUAAAUACUUCUAAUGGUC